This 253-nucleotide ribosomal RNA is filed under the name uncultured bacterium. RNAcentral's name for it is "partial 16S ribosomal RNA". It matches the Rfam family "Bacterial small subunit ribosomal RNA", at positions 524 to 776 of the family's 1533-position model. The record is from RNAcentral.
UACGUAGGGUGCGAGCGUUAAUCGGAAUUACUGGGCGUAAAGCGUGCGCAGGCGGUUUUGUAAGACAGGUGUGAAAUCCCCGGGCUUAACCUGGGAACUGCAUUUGGAACUGGAAGACUAGAGUACGGCAGAGGGGGGUAGAAUUCCACAUGUAGCGGUGAAAUGCGUAGAGAUGUGGAGGAACACCAGUGGCGAAGGCGGCUUCCUGGACUAAAACUGACACUGAGGUGCGAAAGCGUGGGGAGCAAACAGG